AGCAGCCGCGGUAAUUCCAGCUCCAAUAGCGUAUAUUAAAGUUGUUGCAGUUAAAAAGCUCGUAGUUGAAUUUCGGGGUUAGUAGGUUGGUCAUGCCUCUGGUAUGUACUGGUCUCACUGAUUCCUCCUUCCUGAUGAGCCGUAAUGCCAUUAAUUUGGUGUUGCGGGGAAUUUGGACUGUUACUUUGAAAAAAUUGAGUGUUUAAAGCAAGCUAACGCUUGAAUACAUUAGCAUGGAAUAAUGAAAUAGGACGUUCGAUCCUAUUUUGUUGGUUUCUAGGAUUGACGUAAUGAUUAAUAGGGAUAGUUGGGGGCAUUAGUAUUCAAUUGUCAGAGUGAAAUUCUUGGAUUUAUUGAAGACUAACUACUGCGAAAAGCAUUUGCCAAGGAUGUUUUCAUUAAUCAAGAACGAAAGUUAGGGAUCGAAGACGAUCAGAUACCGUCGUAGUCUUAACCAUAAACUAUGCCGACUAGGGAUCGGAUGAUGUUAUUUUUAAUGACUCAUUCGGCGCCUUAAC
Molecule: ribosomal RNA, 518 nt
Filed under: uncultured Glomus
Lineage: Eukaryota; Fungi; Glomeromycota; Glomeromycetes; Glomerales; Glomeraceae
Description: SSU rRNA
Rfam family: Eukaryotic small subunit ribosomal RNA
Source: RNAcentral